RNAcentral lists this ribosomal RNA (252 nucleotides) under uncultured bacterium. RNAcentral describes it as "partial 16S ribosomal RNA". It matches the Rfam family "Bacterial small subunit ribosomal RNA", at positions 524 to 776 of the family's 1533-position model. The record is from RNAcentral.
UACGAAGGGUGCAAGCGUUACUCGGAAUUACUGGCGUAAAGCGUGCGUAGGUGGUGAGUUAAGUCUGUCGUGAAAGCCCCGGGCUCAACCUGGGAAUGGCGAUGGAUACUGGCUCGCUAGAGUGCGGUAGAGGAGAGUGGAAAUUCCCGGUGUAGCAGUGAAAUGCGUAGAGAUCGGGAGGAACAUCAGUUGCGAAGGCGGCUCUCUGGACCAGCACUGACACUGAGGCACGAAAGCGUGGGAGCAAACAGG